Long non-coding RNA from Eurytemora carolleeae, 126 nucleotides. RefSeq lists it as uncharacterized. The record is from RefSeq and is a predicted model, not a curated record. The transcript has 3 exons. NCBI's taxonomy places the organism in Eukaryota, Metazoa, Arthropoda, Copepoda, Calanoida, Temoridae.
AGAUCGUACAGUUGAUCUCAUCUGGUCUGUAGACGCCAGACAACAAGAAUGAACAAGAUUCUCCUGAUCGCCCUUCUGGGCUGUACUGUUCUUGCUUUAGCAGCUGCAAGCAAUGAUGCCAACUCU